GACGAACGCUGGCGGCGUGCUUAACACAUGCAAGUCGAACGGAAAGGCCCUGCUUUUGUGGGGUGCUCGAGUGGCGAACGGGUGAGUAACCCGUGAGUAACCUGCCCUUGACUUUGGGAUAACUUCAGGAAACUAGGGCUAAUACCGGAUAGGAGCUCCUGCUGCAUGGUGGGGGUUGGAAAGUUUCGGCGGUUGGGGAUGGACUCGCGGCUUAUCAGCUUGUUGGUGGGGUAGUGGCUUACCAAGGCUUUGACGGGUAGCCGGCCUGAGAGGGUGACCGGCCACAUUGGGACUGAGAUACGGCCCAGACUCCUACGGGAGGCAGCAGUGGGGAAUAUUGCACAAUGGGCGGAAGCCUGAUGCAGCAACGCCGCGUGCGGGAUGACGGCCUUCGGGUUGUAAACCGCUUUCGCCUGUGACGAAGCGUGAGUGACGGUAAUGGGUAAAGAAGCACCGGCUAACUACGUG
RNAcentral lists this ribosomal RNA (468 nucleotides) under uncultured bacterium. Its description in RNAcentral is "partial 16S ribosomal RNA". It matches the Rfam family "Bacterial small subunit ribosomal RNA", at positions 28 to 507 of the family's 1533-position model. The record is from RNAcentral.